CGGCGGACGGGUGAGUAACGCGUGGGUAACCUGCCUCAUACAGGGGGAUAACAGUUGGAAACGGCUGCUAAUACCGCAUAAGCGCACAGUACCGCAUGGUGCCGUGUGAAAAACUCCGGUGGUAUGAGAUGGACCCGCGUCUGAUUAGGUAGUUGGUGGGGUAACGGCCUACCAAGCCGACGAUCAGUAGCCGACCUGAGAGGGUGACCGGCCACAUUGGGACUGAGACAUGGCCCAA
RNAcentral lists this ribosomal RNA (238 nucleotides) under uncultured bacterium. RNAcentral describes it as "partial 16S ribosomal RNA". It matches the Rfam family "Bacterial small subunit ribosomal RNA", at positions 96 to 334 of the family's 1533-position model. The record is from RNAcentral.